RNAcentral lists this small RNA (469 nucleotides) under Pongo abelii (Sumatran orangutan). RNAcentral's name for it is "retained intron". Lineage: Eukaryota; Metazoa; Chordata; Mammalia; Primates; Hominidae. The record is from RNAcentral.
CCACCAUGAGCUGGCUGGAGGAGAACGUCCACGAGGUUCUGCAGGCAGUGGACGCUGGGGACCCAGCCGUGGAAGCCUGUGAGAACCGGCGGAAGGUACUCUACCAGCGUGCACCCAGGAAUAUCCACCGCCAUGUGAUCCUCUCUGAGAUCAAGGAAGCCGUUGCUGCCCUGCCCCCGGACGUGACCACGCAGUCUGUGAUGGGGUUUGACCCUCUGCCUCCUUCGGACACAAUCUACUCCUACGUCAGGCCAGAGAGGAAGGGGAGAGGAGGAGAGGAACAGUGUUAUUUGGGGGUCACAGCUCUGUGUUUGCAGGCCGCGUUCUUUCCCAUCUCCAUCGAAUGUACGAGCGCUUGUGUGUCAGCCUCUGUGGCAGGUGCGAGUGACACAGUGGAAGCAGGUGUGCAGUGAAGUGGGGAAAACACAUUAAUUUUAGAAUCUAGAAAUAAAUAUAAAAUCAAAACUGC